AUUUUGCGUUGUCUGGGCUCGGCGGCAGCCGGGCUCGGACUGGACGUGCCACUAUGGGGUCGUCCAAGAAGCAUCGCGGAGAGAAGGAGGCGGCCGGGACGACGGCGGCGGCCGGCACCGGGGGUGCCACCGAGCAGCCGCCGCGGCACCGGGAACACAAAAAACACAAGCACCGGAGUGGCGGCAGUGGCGGUAGCGGUGGCGAACGACGGAAGCGGAGCCGGGAACGUGGGGGCGAGCGCGGGAGCGGGCGGCGCGGGGCCGAAGCUGAGGCCCGGAGCAGCACGCACGGGCGGGAGCGCAGCCAGGCAGAGCCCUCCGAGCGGCGCGUGAAGCGGGAGAAGCGCGAUGACGGCUACGAGGCCGCUGCCAGCUCCAAAACUAGCUCAGGCGAUGCCUCCUCACUCAGCAUCGAGGAGACUAACAAACUCCGGGCAAAGUUGGGGCUGAAACCCUUGGAGGUUAAUGCCAUCAAGAAGGCCAUGGGCGGGCAUAGCCUCAUGUCUGGGCCCCCCUUCCAGAGGCGGGCACCAAGGAGGAGCCCGUGACAGCUGAUGUCAUCAACCCUAUGGCCUUGCGACAGCGAGAGGAGCUGCGGGAGAAGCUGGCGGCUGCCAAGGAGAAGCGCCUGCUGAACCAAAAGCUGGGGAAGAUAAAGACCCUAGGAGAGGAUGACCCCUGGCUGGACGACACUGCAGCCUGGAUCGAGAGGAGCCGGCAGCUGCAGAAGGAGAAGGACCUGGCAGAGAAGAGGGCCAAGUUACUGGAGGAGAUGGACCAAGAGUUUGGUGUCAGCACUCUGGUGGAGGAGGAGUUCGGGCAGAGGCGGCAGGACCUGUACAGUGCCCGGGACCUGCAGGGCCUCACCGUGGAGCAUGCCAUUGAUUCCUUCCGAGAAGGGGAGACAAUGAUUCUCACCCUCAAGGACAAAGGCGUGCUGCAGGAGGAGGAGGACGUGCUGGUGAACGUGAACCUGGUGGAUAAGGAGCGGGCAGAGAAAAAUGUGGAGCUGCGGAAGAAGAAGCCUGACUACCUGCCCUAUGCCGAGGACGAGAGCGUGGACGACCUGGCGCAGGCACGGCCUGGGCAGGCUGGGUGGCGGGGGCUGAGGUGUAGAAUGUCGGGAAUGGGGGCUCUGAGGAGGUGGUGGCUCAGUGGCUUUUCAGGAGCCAGCCUGGGUCCCAACCUGUACCUCUUGCCUUGCAGCAAAAACCUCGCUCUAUCCUGUCCAAGUAUGACGAAGAGCUUGAAGGGGAGCGGCCACAUUCCUUCCGCUUGGAGCAGGGCGGCACGGCUGAUGGCCUGCGGGAGCGGGAGCUGGAGGAGAUCCGGGCCAAGCUGCGGCUGCAGGCUCAAUCCCUGAGCACAGUGGGGCCCCGGCUGGCCUCCGAAUACCUCACGCCUGAGGAGAUGGUGACCUUUAAAAAGACCAAGCGGAGGGUGAAGAAAAUCCGCAAGAAGGAGAAGGAGG
Molecule: small RNA, 1471 nt
Filed under: Pan troglodytes (chimpanzee)
Lineage: Eukaryota; Metazoa; Chordata; Mammalia; Primates; Hominidae
Description: retained intron
Source: RNAcentral